This 720-nucleotide ribosomal RNA is filed under the name Triticum aestivum (bread wheat). RNAcentral's name for it is "partial small subunit ribosomal RNA". Lineage: Eukaryota; Viridiplantae; Streptophyta; Magnoliopsida; Poales; Poaceae. The record is from RNAcentral.
AUGUCGGUGCUGCCUCGACUUGCGUGCUCCAGGAGGGACGAGGCUUGGGCAAUGACAGCACCUCUGGCGGUCCCGUCCUCGACGGUGUUGCAGCUAUGCUCACCAACGCAUCUGCUCCCUCCUCUAUCGCCGGUGAAGCCCCCUGGGUUCAAGGCUUCGCCCACCCCCAUGCUCAUCUCCAAUGGGCCGCUCCAGUGCACGACAUCCCCGGUGCGGCUCCACAGGGCUGCUGCUGAUCUGCAGCCAGCUGGGGUUGGCCUGACCGUGCUCUUUGAAGAUCGGCAGGAGCCCUUGCUUCCCUCCCCUACAUCAACGCCCCCCAGGCCUCCUGUUGCGCGCCGUAAGACUCUUGCUGGAGUGAACAUUGCCCGGGCAAGUGCGGGCCUCUCGCUGCACAGGACCAGUGCAAGGCUCAAAGCUGCUGGAAGAACAAGGGUGGUGCCGGCGCCGACGGCUAAGGCGGCUGAGAUCCUGGUUGCUCGUAGUCUGGGGAUCGUCAAGGACAGAGAGGACAUCAUGGCCAAGGCCCUGAACGCAUUUGCUGAGCGUUUCAAGGAGCAGCUGCCGCUGGAGGUGAUAUCUGCCAUUCAAGACUUGUUCGGGUUAGAUGGUGUGCAGGCAAUGGGUGUGGAGGACGCCCUCAUCCAGUACGGAGGGGAGGGUGCUAUGGACGUGGAGAGGGUGGAGGAUGCCGCUGUUGCUCUGCAGGCCUCCACCUGA